AUUGAACGCUGGCGGCAGGCUUAACACAUGCAAGUCGAGCGAGCGGCGGACGGGUGAGUAAUGUCUGGGACACUGCCCGAUGGUGGGGGAUAACUACUGGAAACGGUAGCUAAUAUCGCAUACCAUCAGAUGUGCCCCGGUGGGAUUAGCUAGUAGGUGGGGUAAUGGCUCACCUAGGCGACGAUCCCUAGCUGGUCUGAGAGGAUGACCAGCCACACUGGAACUGAGACACGGUCCAGACGCCUACGGGAGGCAGCAGUGGGGAAUAUUGGACAAUGGGGGCAAGCCUGAUGCAGCCAGGCCGCGUGUGUGAAGAAGGCCUUCGGGUUGUAAAGCACUUUCAGCGGGGAGGCGGUACUCGCAGAAGAAGCACCGGCUAACUACGUGCCAGCAGCCGCGGUAAUUC
Molecule: ribosomal RNA, 406 nt
Filed under: uncultured bacterium
Lineage: Bacteria
Description: partial 16S ribosomal RNA
Rfam family: Bacterial small subunit ribosomal RNA
Source: RNAcentral